GGGUGGGUAACUCUGUAAAUUUUCGUGUGCUGACUCAGUAACUCCAACUCACUUUAAUGAGUCAGCACAGUGAGCUGGCACAAGUGUGCUAUCGCACAAUUGCUUCUGUUCGUAGCUGGCCGGAAAAAUUUUACAAAGCUGAUUUCAACUGAGGUGAGUCUGAGCGUGCGGCACAGUUCUAAGAGUCAGCACAGUAACUCAGCACAGUGCUGAGUUACCCAGCUCUA
This 227-nucleotide long non-coding RNA is filed under the name Rhagoletis pomonella (apple maggot). Its description in RNAcentral is "uncharacterized LOC118741641". Lineage: Eukaryota; Metazoa; Arthropoda; Insecta; Diptera; Tephritidae. The record is from RNAcentral.